This 301-nucleotide ribosomal RNA is filed under the name uncultured bacterium. RNAcentral's name for it is "partial 16S ribosomal RNA". It matches the Rfam family "Bacterial small subunit ribosomal RNA", at positions 509 to 807 of the family's 1533-position model. The record is from RNAcentral.
CAGUCGCCGCGGGAAUACGGAGGGUGCAAGCGUUAAUCGGAAUUACUGGGCGUAAAGCGCACGCAGGCGGUCUGACAAGUCAGAUGUGAAAUCCCCGGGCUUAACCUGGGAACUGCAUUUGAAACUGUCAGGCUGGAGUCUUGUAGAGGGGGGUAGAAUUCCAGGUGUAGCGGUGAAAUGCGUAGAGAUCUGGAGGAAUACCGGUGGCGAAGGCGGCCCCCUGGACAAAGACUGACGCUCAGGUGCGAAAGCGUGGGGAGCAAACAGGAUUAGAGACCCCAGUAGUCCCUGUCUCUUAUAC